GACUCUGGCCAUGCCACUUUGAACAAGCCCAAUCCUGUCUGAUCUCAGAAGCUAAGCAGGAUCGAGCCUGGUUAGUACGUGGAUGAGAGACCACCUAGGAAGACCAGGUGCUGUAGAUG
Pteropus vampyrus (large flying fox) is the source of this 119-nucleotide ribosomal RNA. Lineage: Eukaryota; Metazoa; Chordata; Mammalia; Chiroptera; Pteropodidae. The record is from Ensembl.